GACAUGCUAUCUUGUUUCGUAAGUACUGCUAUUUAAGGUUAGCCUUGCAGAACUAUCUUUUAAUGUUCCCAGUUUAUCCUAAAGUAUUUUAGCCUAAAUUUCCUGUCAUUUAGAUAGAUGUGGGUUAUGCUAAUCUGACUGGUGUUAUGGUAUUGUAGCUACUGCACAUGUCCCUCGAUUUCCCAGUUCCAUGUGUCAGGAUGCUAAUAUGGGUGUUACUAUAUUGCCUUCCAGUUUAUCCUAAAGUAUUUUAGCCUAAAUUUCUUGUGUCAUUUAGAUAGAUGUGGGUUAUGCUAAUCUGACUGGUGGGUUAUGCUAAUCUGACUGGUAAGUAUGGUAUUGUAGCUACUGUACAUGUCCCUCAAUUUCCCAGUUCCAUGUGUCAGGAUGCUAAUAUGGGUGUUACUAUAUUGCCUUCCAUUUUGUAAUAUGUUAUGUUUGCAAUUUCUCAGGGCCGCCGCCGCCGCCGUCCAUAGCAACGCAUAGGCCGCUUGCCCAGCUCCCUCAUUCCGAGCACGACACCACGCGUCGGAGCUUGUCGGGAGGCACGGAAGGACGAACAGAGUUCUACCGGUGAUCCGUGUUGUCGCUGACAGUGUCAUAGGAUCUGCGGUGCACGUGGACAAGGCGAUGGGGCUGCCAACCUACCUCCUCUUCACCACAGCGCGUGUGGAUUCUUGGGCUACCUCAACUUGGAUCAACUUUUUCAAGAGGGGAUGCUUGCCAUUCAGAGGAUCUGAUGGAGAAGAUAAAGACAACUAAUACGCUGAAAAUGAUUUUACAUCCUGGUUCGAAAAGUAAAAGGGAAAUCUUCGAGUAAAGGUAUGUUCUACUGCAAAGGAACUUCCCGAGGGAUCCCAUUGAAAUUGAAAGUAUGUUUCUUUUUUUAUUCCUAGAUUUUGAGCAUCUUGAAGGUUCAUCACUUGAUUUUCACUACUACAUCAUGUUUUAUGUAACUCCACACCACCAGAGUCUGGUAAUGCAAUUCCACCUCCCUUUCUUUGUUCUGAGUCAAUGUUAAUCAUCCGACCGGAGUUGGUCAAUGCUAGAGGAUUUGGCUUGGUGGUGGCAUUGCAUAUAGCAGCUUGUGGAAUGGUAAUGUUGCUGCCGUAGCCUUGAUUGCUUUGUAGUUUCAUCCUAGGAAGCAUUUAGGCUGUUAUGAACCUGGAUGUUUCACUUUAGGUUGGUUAAUUCAACUUCUUGAUGUCAGUGACGUAUUGUUUUUCUUUAACCUGCUAGGAGUCUUGGGUACUGUCAUGGUGAUGAUGUCAAACAACCUUCAUCGACAGGUACAAAUAGUUUAGGUUGUGUUUUGCCUUGUGUUAUCCCGUCUCUAUUUUUUUAUUCAUGUACCUUUGUAUAGUUGUAUCCCCUUUUAAACAGUAGAGAUUUAUUGGCCAAGAGAAAAUCUUGUUACAUUUGAGGCUAAUAUCUUGCUAAUUUCAGUUAUGUUAUUGUGAAACCAAGACCUUGGAAAAUACCGGUUAGUGAUCCUAACAAGUAUUUGUGUGCAGUAUACUAAGAUUGUUAUGUCUUGCUUUAAAUCUUCCUGUAUAUAAGAAAAUUUAAAGUAGCACCGGAACUUCUUAAACUAACCAGCCAACAAAUAUAUCAGCAUAUUCACGGUUAAGACAACUCACAAAUAGAAAUAUUUUGCUGGCAAUAUCUACCUAAUACGACUGAAGAUAAAUGUUCUUGAUGUGUGCCGCUUGGAUAAGAGAUUUGAUGAUGCUAAUUGAGAACUUUACCUGACCAAUAAUCCGCGACAUUGUGAUGGUUGCAUAGAUUAGAAAAUGAAUGGACAAUGUAUUUUUUUGCCAUCUUAAUGUUAAAUAAUUACCCUGUACCUUAGUACCUAUAGAUAAUAUUUUUGUAUAGCAAAGGUGAUGGCUAGAUCAUAAAAUUGGCGGAUUUGCAUGCCUGAUAUGAAAGUACAAUUCGUACUCAUAGUGAGAUUUUUUAUCGCUCAAUAUAUCAGAUGCUUCAUUCUUGGGUGUUCAUUGUAUAUCUUAUUACGAUGAAGACAUACUUCCCAUUGUGUUAUCCUGCCAAUGAAUGUAUUCAAUUUAUAGUGUAGUGGCUAAUUUCAUGAACUAAAUAGGUGUUAUAGAAUUUUUUUUCUUUUCAUUUUAAUUGUGUAUAUGUAGUUCUGCACAACACGCCUUCUUGCUGAGUUAUAUCAACAGAAGCCAGUAUGCUAAAAUUAACAAAGCUCUUAUGCGACAUUUACUUAUGUGAUGUGGAUCAAUCUAAACAAGUUUUUUUGGUUAGUUUGUCUAUUUUUUCAGGGAUAAACUGCCUUAACCGAAGCAGCAUAUGUUGGAGAAUGUAGAUUCAGCUUUUGUUUCAGUAGCUUUGGAGGUAUCCUAUAUGACUAUGAGUGAUAUACUCUCCUGUCUCCUCCCUCCAUUUUACUCGAGUUAACCCCUGUACGCACAUCUCUACGUCUGCCUUCAGGAACGGGGUGAUACGUGAUAUACGUAUACGGGUAAGGAAUGCUGGUUGUCUGUGAUUUUCAUGGUGGUGGAAAGGAAUGUGCGAAGAGACAAGCUGCAGGGACCAUAUGAUGCAGAAGGAACGGAGACGGGCCAUGCAAGAAAAUCCAUACCAAACGAACUCCAAACGUGAUGAGACUUUUUGACGAUUUUUGGAACAUAAGAGACCCCCGAAACUUCGUGGGAGGAUUAGAAGACCCAUGAGGAGGUGACAAGGCAACCCGACACGCCCAUGGGGGUGGCCACACAGGGAUACCUUAUGGGCCCCUCGUAACUCCAUUUUGCGUGAUUCCAACUCUGAAAAUUCUUAUAAAUAGGGAACCCCCAAAAAAUAAACCUAUAACUUCAACUCCACCACCGCAAGCCUCUGUUCUGAAGAGAUCCCAUCUGGAGGCCUUUUCCGACACCCUGCCGGAGGGGGAAAUCAUCACCGGAGGCCACUUCGUCAUCCCGGUGGUCUCCAUGAGGAGG
Aegilops tauschii subsp. strangulata is the source of this 2966-nucleotide non-coding RNA. The record is from RefSeq and is a predicted model, not a curated record. Lineage: Eukaryota; Viridiplantae; Streptophyta; Magnoliopsida; Poales; Poaceae.